CUGGAUGUGACACAGGAUUGUGUCUUAGCACUAAAGUCUGAUAGCAGUAGGUUGGGAUUUUCCAUAGAUACCUACUAAAACUAGUUAAGACUAUGUUUCUAUAGUUGUUGUAAAAUUGUGCAUAUUUAAUAUAUGUAUUCUGAUACAUGUGUACGUAAUACCUACACCCAAGCAACCCCAUUCAACAGAGUGUUGUAUAGGAAUCGAGGCUCGUGCCCAGACAGACCACACCUGGCCAGUACGGUUCCACGUGAGAGACUUUCAUUGGUGCUGGGGAUGGGGGAUGCACAAAGGAGGGGAGGAGACAAAGGAGGAAAAGAGAAAGAAGGGGCGACGGUCAGGAGGGGUUGGCUUUUUAUUUGGGUAGGGACAUAACUUCUUGCAGGUGAGGGUAGGAGAUGGGCUAGGAGGACACUGGAAAUAUAUGACAACAGAUGCUCAGGUCCCUUUCACCUCUGGGUGACGUCACUGCUAUCGCUGGGUUUGGAGACAACCUGCAACCAUAAAGCCGAUUCCUCAUACCAACACUAAGUUCUCAUAAAAAUGACAGAAUUGCCAUGGAUCCCAGCAGUCUUCUCAGUAUAGUUUCCAUGCACUUGAAAUUAGUUUUAAAUCGUUCCAGAAUGCUCAUGUUUCUUGCAGUUGUAUUCAUACUUGCCUAAAUAUGAAAAUAACAUCAAUGCUCAUUUGUUGAGGACCAGCUAGGUGCCUCUAGGCGACCAAGGGUGCCUUGGGUUAAAGAAGUGGAUAAAGGAUUAUGCACUUGUAAAGACUCUCACAGUCAGUGCUUUAUUGUCAUAAAACAGCAUGUAAUUAUAGCUUAAGCAUUAUCAACCCAUUUCUUUCUCCCAUAUAAUUUUAACCUUUAAUGCACUCUUAUUAUCAGAUGGAUAU
Molecule: long non-coding RNA, 894 nt
Filed under: Rattus norvegicus (Norway rat)
Lineage: Eukaryota; Metazoa; Chordata; Mammalia; Rodentia; Muridae
Description: long non-coding RNA NONRATT029761
Source: RNAcentral